This 73-nucleotide transfer RNA is filed under the name Candidatus Saccharimonadota bacterium. Its description in RNAcentral is "tRNA-Gly". It matches the Rfam family "tRNA". Rfam says of the family: Transfer RNA (tRNA) molecules are approximately 80 nucleotides in length. Their secondary structure includes four short double-helical elements and three loops (D, anti-codon, and T loops). Further hydrogen bonds mediate the characteristic L-shaped molecular structure. tRNAs have two regions of fundamental functional importance: the anti-codon, which is responsible for specific mRNA codon recognition, and the 3' end, to which the tRNAs corresponding amino acid is attached (by aminoacyl-tRNA synthetases). tRNAs cope with the degeneracy of the genetic code in two manners: having more than one tRNA (with a specific anti-codon) for a particular amino acid; and 'wobble' base-pairing, i.e. permitting non-standard base-pairing at the 3rd anti-codon position. Lineage: Bacteria; Candidatus Saccharimonadota. The record is from RNAcentral. RNAcentral also lists the same sequence under 1 other name.
CGGGGUGUAGUUUAAUGUAGGUAAAACCUUUCGCACCACGAAAGAGUUGCAGGUUCGAAUCCUGUCACCCCGA